GAUCCUGGCUCAGGACGAACGCUGGCGGCGUGCCUAACACAUGCAAGUCGAGCGGAGACAGUGAGUAGCUUGCUAUGAGCUGUUUUAGCGGCGGACGGGUGAGUAACGCGUGAGCAACCUUUCCCAGACAGGGGAAUAACACACCGAAAGGUGUACUAAUACCGCAUAAGACCACGGGAUCACAUGGUUCUGGGGUAAAAGAUUUAUCGGGUUUGGGGUGGGCUCGCGUCCGAUUAGGUAGUUGGUGAGGUAACGGCCCG
RNAcentral lists this ribosomal RNA (260 nucleotides) under uncultured bacterium. RNAcentral's name for it is "partial 16S ribosomal RNA". It matches the Rfam family "Bacterial small subunit ribosomal RNA", at positions 15 to 267 of the family's 1533-position model. The record is from RNAcentral.